Molecule: ribosomal RNA, 703 nt
Filed under: Vibrionaceae bacterium enrichment culture clone HE_C4
Lineage: Bacteria; Pseudomonadati; Pseudomonadota; Gammaproteobacteria; Vibrionales; Vibrionaceae
Description: bacterial SSU rRNA
Rfam family: Bacterial small subunit ribosomal RNA
Source: RNAcentral
AGAGUUUGAUCAUGGCUCAGAUUGAACGCUGGCGGCAGGCCUAACACAUGCAAGUCGAGCGGAAACGACACUAACAAUCCUUCGGGUGCGUUAAUGGGCGUCGAGCGGCGGACGGGUGAGUAAUGCCUAGGAAAUUGCCUUGAUGUGGGGGAUAACCAUUGGAAACGAUGGCUAAUACCGCAUAAUGCCUACGGGCCAAAGAGGGGGACCUUCGGGCCUCUCGCGUCAAGAUAUGCCUAGGUGGGAUUAGCUAGUUGGUGAGGUAAUGGCUCACCAAGGCGACGAUCCCUAGCUGGUCUGAGAGGAUGAUCAGCCACACUGGAACUGAGACACGGUCCAGACUCCUACGGGAGGCAGCAGUGGGGAAUAUUGCACAAUGGGCGAAAGCCUGAUGCAGCCAUGCCGCGUGUAUGAAGAAGGCCUUCGGGUUGUAAAGUACUUUCAGUUGUGAGGAAGGGGGUAACGUUAAUAGCGUUAUCUCUUGACGUUAGCAACAGAAGAAGCACCGGCUAACUCCGUGCCUGCAGCCGCGGUAAUACGGAGGGUGCGAGCGUUAAUCGGAAUUACUGGGCGUAAAGCGCAUGCAGGUGGUUUAUUAAGUCAGAUGUGAAAUCCCGGGGCUCUACCUCUUAUCUGCAUUUGAAACUGUUGAACUACAUCACUGUAGAGGGUGGUAUAAUUUCUGGCGUACCUUUGAACUGUG